CUCCAAACUCAGCAAUUCAAUCCGAGUCCCUCACAGCGUGAGUAAAACACAUGAAUACCCCUCCAUGCGCGAUCUCACGCGAAACGGUACAUAAAAUAUCACGACUUUUCCAAAAUUACCAUUUUGCCAUCACCGACCUCUCCUCGAUCAACUCGCAAUCUCCGCAGAUCCGUCCGUCAGAUUUGCGAACGGAUCGCACCAGUGCGAUCAGCACGACGGAGACAACAAAGCUACGAUUUCGAUUCAUCUCGAUCGACUACGGAUUCACGACAAAAUCUAAUCUUUCUUCCAACAGAAGAAACAACACACAAAUACAUAUAAAACAUGUAUUUCUGGAUUUUCUCGAAAUUCGUGCGUCAAACUCAAAAUCUGCCAGCGUCAAAGUUUCAGAACAGCUAGACCG
Molecule: long non-coding RNA, 403 nt
Filed under: Ananas comosus (pineapple)
Lineage: Eukaryota; Viridiplantae; Streptophyta; Magnoliopsida; Poales; Bromeliaceae
Description: long non-coding RNA (ACOM_LNC034775)
Source: RNAcentral